This 72-nucleotide transfer RNA is filed under the name Immersiella caudata. RNAcentral's name for it is "Cercophora caudata tRNA". It matches the Rfam family "tRNA". Rfam says of the family: Transfer RNA (tRNA) molecules are approximately 80 nucleotides in length. Their secondary structure includes four short double-helical elements and three loops (D, anti-codon, and T loops). Lineage: Eukaryota; Fungi; Ascomycota; Sordariomycetes; Sordariales; Lasiosphaeriaceae. The record is from Rfam by way of RNAcentral.
UUCUCCGUGGUGUACCGGUCAACAUAUCGCGCUUUCACCGCGAAGCUCCGGGUUCGAUUCCCGGCGGGGAAG